RNAcentral lists this transfer RNA (73 nucleotides) under Blautia intestinalis. RNAcentral's name for it is "tRNA-Val". It matches the Rfam family "tRNA". Rfam says of the family: Transfer RNA (tRNA) molecules are approximately 80 nucleotides in length. Lineage: Bacteria; Bacillati; Bacillota; Clostridia; Lachnospirales; Lachnospiraceae. The record is from RNAcentral.
CGGAACAUAGCUCAGCAGGUAGAGCAACUGGCUUACGUCCAGCGUGUCGGUGGUUCAAGCCCAUCUGUUCCGA